Molecule: ribosomal RNA, 903 nt
Filed under: uncultured bacterium
Lineage: Bacteria
Description: bacterial SSU rRNA
Rfam family: Bacterial small subunit ribosomal RNA
Source: RNAcentral
UGCAAGUCGAGGGGCAGCAUGAUUGAAGCUUGCUUCAAUUGAUGGCGACCGGCGCACGGGUGAGUAACGCGUAUCCAACCUUCCGUACACUCAGGGAUAGCCUUUCGAAAGAAAGAUUAAUACCUGAUGGUAUGAUGAGAUUGCAUGAUAGCAUCAUUAAAGAUUUAUCGGUGUACGAUGGGGAUGCGUUCCAUUAGGUAGUAGGCGGGGUAACGGCCCACCUAGCCUACGAUGGAUAGGGGUUCUGAGAGGAAGGUCCCCCACAUUGGAACUGAGACACGGUCUAAACUCCUACGGGAGGCAGCAGUGAGGAAUAUUGGUCAAUGGACGAGAGUCUGAACCAGCCAAGUAGCGUGAAGGAUGAAGGUCUUACGGAUUGUAAACUUCUUUUAUAAGGGAAUAAAACCUCCCACGUGUGGGAGCUUGUAUGUACCUUAUGAAUAAGCAUCGGCUAACUCCGUGCCAGCAGCCGCGGUAAUACGGAGGAUGCGAGCGUUAUCCGGAUUUAUUGGGUUUAAAGGGAGCGCAGACGGGUCGUUAAGUCAGCUGUGAAAGUUUGGGGCUCAACCUUAAAAUUGCAGUUGAUACUGGCGUCCUUGAGUGCGGUUGAGGUGUGCGGAAUUCGUGGUGUAGCGGUGAAAUGCUUAGAUAUCACGGAGAACUCCGAUUGCGAAGGCAGCACACUAAGCCGUAACUGACGUUCAUGCUCGAAAGUGUGGGUAUCAAACAGGAUUAGAUACCCUGGUAGUCCACACGGUAAACGAUGGAUACUCGCUGUUGGCGAUAUACGGUCAGCGGCUUAGCGAAAGCGUUAAGUAUCCCACCUGGGGAGUACGCCGGCAACGGUGAAACUCAAAGGAAUUGACGGGGGCCCGCACAAGCGGAGGAACAUGUGGUUUAAUU